GACGAACGCUGGCGGCGUGCUUAACACAUGCAAGUCGAACGGAAAGGCCCUGCUUUUGUGGGGUGCUCGAGUGGCGAACGGGUGAGUAACACGUGAGUAACCUGCCCUUGACUUUGGGAUAACUUCAGGAAACUGGGGCUAAUACCGGAUAGGAGCUCCUGCUGCAUGGUGGGGGUUGGAAAGUUUCGGCGGUUGGGGAUGGACUCGCGGCUUAUCAGCUUGUUGGUGGGGUAGUGGCUUACCAAGGCUUUGACGGGUAGCCGGCCUGAGAGGGUGACCGGCCACAUUGGGACUGAGAUACGGCCCAGACUCCUAAGGGAGGCAGCAGUGGGGAAUAUUGCACAAUGGGCGGAAGCCUGAUGCAGCAACGCCGAGUGCGGGAUGACGGCCUUCGGGUUGUAAACCGCUUUCGCCUGUGACGAAGCGUGAGUGACGGUAAUGGGUAAAGAAGCACCGGCUAACUACGUG
Molecule: ribosomal RNA, 468 nt
Filed under: uncultured bacterium
Lineage: Bacteria
Description: partial 16S ribosomal RNA
Rfam family: Bacterial small subunit ribosomal RNA
Source: RNAcentral